AGGUCCAUUCUAAUUCUUGCUGGCCGGAAACUGGCUUAGAGCAUUCUCUGUGGACCAGAGUUCCCUGGACACUCGCCAGGGAAGGCCAGGCUAUUGUGCCCAGACCUUG
Molecule: small nucleolar RNA, 109 nt
Filed under: Sorex araneus (European shrew)
Lineage: Eukaryota; Metazoa; Chordata; Mammalia; Eulipotyphla; Soricidae
Source: RNAcentral